This 100-nucleotide transfer RNA is filed under the name Nitrososphaerota archaeon. RNAcentral's name for it is "Thaumarchaeota archaeon tRNA-OTHER". The record is from RNAcentral. Lineage: Archaea; Thermoproteati; Nitrososphaerota.
GGGCCCGUAGCUCAGUCAGGAAGAGCACCGGAAGUGAUGGUGAGACUUUUAAAUGACUGAGGAGAUCCGGGGGUCUCGGGAUCAAAGCCCGACGGGCCCG